RNAcentral lists this ribosomal RNA (378 nucleotides) under uncultured bacterium. RNAcentral describes it as "bacterial SSU rRNA". It matches the Rfam family "Bacterial small subunit ribosomal RNA", at positions 771 to 1142 of the family's 1533-position model. The record is from RNAcentral.
ACCUAAUAGAUACCCAGGUAGUCCACGCCCUAAACGAUGCGAACUGGAUGUUGGGUACAUUACGGUGCUCAGUGUCGAAAGCUAACGCGUUAAGUUCGCCGCCUGGGGAGUACGGUCGCAAGACUGAAACUCAAAGGAAUUGACGGGGGCCGGCACAAGCGGUGGAGUAUGUGGUUUAAAUUACGAUGCAACGACGAAGAACCUUACCUGGCCGUUGACAUCUGUCGAAUCCUGCAGAGAUGCGGGAGUGCCGCAAGGAACGGACAAGACAGGUGCUGCAUGGCUGUCGUCAGCUCGUGUCGUGAGAUGUUGGGUUUAAGUCCCGCAACGAGCGCAACCCUUGUCCCUAGUUGCCAGCACAUCAUGGUGGGAACUCUA